AUGACGAUCCUAAGCUGGAACUGUCGGGGUCUUGGGCAGCCUCAGAUAGUUCAGGAACUUGUAUGCCUUGUGCAUACCUACAAGCCCAAGCUUGUGUUCCUCUCUGAAACUCGGCAAAGCACCUUGUAUGUUAAUAAGUUGAGAUGGAGGCUAGGCCUCAAACACUGUAUUGUGCAGCCCGACAUUGGCAAAAGUGCUGGUAUCGUGCUCUUCUGUGAUGAAAGUGUGGAAGUAAUAAAGCUUGUCGUUGGCCUAAGGUACAUCGACGUGUUAAUUCGUUUGAAUCCAAAUGAAAUGCAGUGGCGAGGUACUUUUGUCUACGGUGAACCGAAAGCUCAUAUAAGACAUAACAUAUGGGAGCUGAUGCGUAGAAUAAAACCCAACUCCAGCGCUUCCUGGAUGAUGAUAGGUGAUUUCAACGAGACAAUGUGGCAAUCUAAACAUAUAUCAGCCUCGAGGAGGUCAGAGAGAUACAUGGAAAAUGUUAGGAGGGUCCUAUCGGAUUGUAACCUCUUUGACUUGGGGUUUAAGGGACCAGUUUGGAAACACAAUAACAAACAUGAUGGCCAUAGCAAUGUGAAGGCAAGGCUAGACAAAGGGGUGGCGUCCCCGAGUUGGUCAGAUCAUCUCGAUUAG
Molecule: ribosomal RNA, 636 nt
Filed under: Triticum aestivum (bread wheat)
Lineage: Eukaryota; Viridiplantae; Streptophyta; Magnoliopsida; Poales; Poaceae
Description: partial small subunit ribosomal RNA
Source: RNAcentral